RNAcentral lists this ribosomal RNA (555 nucleotides) under uncultured bacterium. RNAcentral's name for it is "bacterial SSU rRNA". It matches the Rfam family "Bacterial small subunit ribosomal RNA", at positions 374 to 918 of the family's 1533-position model. The record is from RNAcentral.
GGUAUGACGCAGCCUGAUCCAGCAAUGCCGCGUGCAGGAAGAAGGCCUUCGGGUUGUAAACUGCUUUUGUCAGGGAAGAAAUCCUUUGGGUUAAUACCUCGAAGGGAUGACGGUACCUGAAGAAUAAGCACCGGCUAACUACGUGCCAGCAGCCGCGGUAAUACGUAGGGUGCGAGCGUUAAUCGGAAUUACUGGGCGUAAAGCGUGCGCAGGCGGCUUUGCAAGACAGAGGUGAAAUCCCCGGGCUCAACCUGGGAACUGCCUUUGUGACUGCAAGGCUAGAGUACGGCAGAGGGGGAUGGAAUUCCGCGUGUAGCAGUGAAAUGCGUAAAUAUGCGGAGGAACACCGAUGGCGAAGGCAAUCCCCUGGGCCUGUACUGACGCUCAUGCACGAAAGCGUGGGGAGCAAACAGGAUUAGAUACCCUGGUAGUCCACGCCCUAAACGAUGUCAACUGGUUGUUGGACGGCUUGCUGUUCAGUAACGAAGCUAACGCGUGAAGUUGACCGCCUGGGGAGUACGGCCGCAAGGUUGAAACUCAAUGAAAUUGGACGGA